AGAGAGAGAGAGAGAGAGAGAGAGAGAGAGAGAAGAAGAAGAAUGGAGAAAACUCACCUGAGCUCGUCGCCGGAUCCACCACACGCCAGGACGUCAUCAAGCUCGUCACCACCAUCAUCCGCAACCAAAGACUACCAUCGUGUUCCUCUCGUCGAGACGAAUCCGUAGCCACCAAAAACGUCUCAAUCGGAGCCCGGACGAAGCCGCUAGAGCCUCCCAAAGUUUCUCCUCUGCGCGGGCGUGAAACGCACGCGCCGUCGCCGUCUGCCGGAGCCACCGCGCAUUCCGGCCACUCGCCGCCGUCUCCGACCAACGUUCGCUGGAGCCGCCGUGACCGGCCACCGUCCGUUCGCCGCCGAGAAGCUGCCGCCGUCGCCGCCGGUGACCGACACCGGUAACUCGCCGGUGACUCGGUCAACUCGUCCGAGUCAACUCAGCGAGUCAACUCGGUUGACUCGGUUAACCGCUGGUUUGACCGGUUUAAAUUGAUUUCGUUUCGGUUAGGGUAAACCGGUCGGUUAGGACAAAUUGAUUUCUGGUCAAGGGUUGACCGGAUUGACCUUUGACCAGCGAGUUGACUUUUCCAUAAACCUUGACCAGACCCGUUUUAAACCGUUCGAAAUGCAUUCUAACUCGAUUUUUCGCCCUGAUUUCAGAUUUGGAGUCUAUUUGAGCAUCUGGAGUUCAUAGAUACCACUUCUUCUUGUUGCUAAGGUGAGGGCUAUUCCGUUAAAUCCCGAGCUAGUUUAGUACUACCAUUAUGGAAAGUUUAGUUUCGAAACAUGAUCCGUCUUUGUGAAUCGAGUCUAUUUGAGAGUCUUGCUUGUUCAUUAUUGAUAUUGAUUAUUAACUGGAAUUAGGAUAAUAGAGGAUUCAACGAUUGUGUGAAAUGAUUGAUGCUAAGAACUGAUAUAUAUAUGUAUAUACAUAGUUAUGAGUAGGGAUUAUGUGAUGAGGGCGUGAGUUCAGAGAUGUCUGAGCUUCGACGCUACGGUGUGGUAUGGGCGUGAGUUCAGAGACAUUUGAGCUUCGACGCUACUGUUUGGGGCGUCGUGCAGAGACGUUUGCAUUCGAUGCUACGAUGGGCGGGGGUACAGAGACAGACUGUACUAGCUACGCUUCGAGUAUAUGUAUAUAUCCUUAUGAGUAGAUGCGUGGUGCAGAGAGUAGCUAUGUACUAUAAGCGCAUGAGUUGUAACGGCUAGUCCUCUAGCCGAAUAUUGAUUGUUAUGUGUGGUGUAAUAGGCACCGUGUUUGUUUCAUGCUAGAGCUAGGCCUACAUUUUAGUAGUGCUAUGAACUCAGUCUGUGGUUUGCGGUUUAGCAUCCCAUACCUCGCUCUGCAACUCCCCUGUUGCUCACCCCCCCCCUUCUUUCCCCCUUUCAGGUGAGACCGACGAGCAGGAGUGAUUAUCGGACCGGUGCUAUUGGGCUUUUGGGCUUCUAUCGCUUUUACCGCUUUUAUCUUUAUCGGGCCUUUAGGCCUUUGAACUUUUAUCGUUUAUGUUAUUCCUAUUUCAGACUUUCGGGUUAUGUCGUAUUUUAUAUUUCGUAUGUUAUCGAUGUUGGGCUUUUAGGCCUUUUGGUAUCGUAUUGACUUUUAUAUUAUGAUAUGAAGAUUAUUAUUAUUUCAGUA
Brassica napus (rape) is the source of this 1635-nucleotide long non-coding RNA. RefSeq lists it as uncharacterized. Lineage: Eukaryota; Viridiplantae; Streptophyta; Magnoliopsida; Brassicales; Brassicaceae. The transcript has 2 exons. The record is from RefSeq and is a predicted model, not a curated record.